UUUUUUUUUUUUUUUGAAAGAAAAGGUAUUAUCAUCUUGCUUCAGUUCAUUAUGGACCAACAAGACCACACAAAACUGAAGUAACCCAGACUAAAAAUUUCAUUAGGCCUAUUAUAGUGUUUAGUUUGGCUAAUAAAAUAUAAUUUAGCAACUGCAAACCUACAUUACAUCUUUAUAAAGGUCAAGUUACUUAACAAAUACAGAAGAACUCAACAAUAGGACUUGUGAUAAUGAUCUUCAAAAGGCCAGAGAAGCUCUUAUUUUAGAAGAGAGAUGGAAGACAUGCUUCCUUCUAGUUUGUGUUGGGGGCAAUACUUAAACAAAAAUCAUAGUUAGAACAGCUCAUUGUGACAAGACAAAUAAAGAAUAAAUUAGCUUACCAUUAAUCAAACCCCCAGAUGAAGAAUAUGGCUUACUCAUUAUCACAUUUUAACAUGUAGAGGAGCACAACACUGAGAAAUCAUUAGCAAGCAUGCUGUGGCCCUCAUGCCAACUUUAAAGGCUAACCAUAAAAAACAUAUAAAUCUUACGGUAAAAAUGUCUAUUAAAUUUCAUAAUCAAAGAACACUUGGGACCUAGGUUUUGAGGCCGAGGAUGAGGAGGAUGGUGGCUAAAUGGUGGUAGGCUUAUCAAGUUUGGGCUAUUGACUUCUAAGUUCACACCAUUAUUAGUAUCAUAUAGAAUUAAGAAAGGAAAGGUGGCUCGAAGAGGAGGGUAAAAGAUGCUAGGUGAGGAUAAGUCCAAAAGGUAGUUGUCUAACAUCAUCAGGUGGUAAAAUUGUUUUGGUAACCUUUGUUCCCCUUAAUGACAACCAACUUUUAGAACAUGUAUGGGCUACCCCUGUUAAAAGAAAAACUAACACAAUUGUAGAUGCACACAGCUUGGUCUUUUUCUAUACACUUAGCUGGCUAAAAAGUAAUUUUUGGACACGACUAUUUCAUUAAUUGAACCAAAUUCCAAUGACAACUUAAUUGGAUUUUCGAAAAGGAUGACUAACUUGUUAACAAUACUAAACGUUAGGGGAAUUUUAGUAAUUUACCCUUCUAUUUUAAAAUUGAAAAAUGCAAAAAUAACUGCCAAUGGGGGAAAACUGCAAUGACAACAAAAAAAAAGUGACCCAACCUGACCCAAAGCCCAAGGGUUAGGUUUGACCUGAAAUGAGAUGCAAAUCCAUCUAACCAAAAUCAAUUUCCACCUCUACCAAUUACUAGUACAAUGGUACAAGUAUCAGUAAUACAGUUUUGCUUUCUUCAAAACAGUGAUUGUUUGUUUGCACUUUGCUGCCAAACUUAACAACAGAUAAAUAAGAUAUGCUGAAUUUUGCUUUAAAUCCAUGUUUAGUCACCUCCUCAAUCAUACAAUCCACUGCAAUCAUCCACAAGAAAAUUAGAAUAAAGUAAUAUUUAGGAAAUAUCAGGUAUAUACAUCCUGGAAUAACCACAUUAAGGCAAAAGAGAUUUCUUUUUUUUUUUAAAUAAUAAUAAUAAUUUGCUAUAUUUUUUGACUUUGAUAACAGAUAAAUUUUAUGAAGUAACUGUAAUGUAUGCUUUUAUACUAGUACUGAGAAAAUGCUUAAUUUCCUUGAUAUUCAGGGGAAAAUUAUGUUAAUAUGUCUGUCCAGCAUAUAUUUGUUUGCUUUUUUCCCACUUCAUUCUGUUGAUUUAUAUUUUUAGUCUUAAGGAAAAGUUGGUUAUUUAAUUGAGAUAUUUGCACCUUUUCUUGUCCAACCAAACAUCUCAACCUGAAACUGUAGCAAGAUGGCUAAACCAUUGAACUCUACAUGUCUUGUAAUUUUUGUGUAACAACACUCAAAUUAACCACAGAUUGGUUCAUAAUGUCAUAGAGAACCUAUCUAAACCAACCUUGAACUAUCUUAUCUAGACCUAUCUAUAGAUUAAAAGAUGUAGUCUUAAAUCAGUUGGAAUGAGGAAAAGGAUCCAUGUGGCUAAUCCCUGUUAGAUUAGGAUCUAGUUAUAGUUGAGUUGAGUUGCAUAGGGAGAGAUACAAGAUAAGCCUAAUUGCCAUGAUCUUUCGGUGCAUGGCAUUCAUUGCAAUAUCUAUAGUAGAGAAUAUUGCAGACUGUAGUGUAGAAUUGUUUCAUGAAUGAUUUUAUUUGUUAGGUUAUUGAAGUUUAUGCUUUUUUCUCUUCAUUUAUUUUUCCAGAUUUUAUAUAUGGAAAAUAUCAAAUAAAUUGCCUUUCUUUUUUAUAUUAAUUUUUAUUCUUUUUUAUGUUUUUCAUUUUAUUGUCUUCCACUCUUCUUUCUUUCUAUAAUUUCAGUUAAGAUGCUUUAAUGGUAUGCAGCACUCAAAGGCAGCAUAAGCUUCAUAAAAUAAUUUGUUCAGGUUGUAUUGGUUUUAAGAUUCCCUUGGCAUGUUUUGAAUUUGUGCUGCAGUACAUUUUGUUGUGGUAUCACAAUAAUGAUUUACAAAGACCUUUGUGUGCAGUUAU
Molecule: unclassified non-coding RNA, 2449 nt
Filed under: Hevea brasiliensis (rubber tree)
Lineage: Eukaryota; Viridiplantae; Streptophyta; Magnoliopsida; Malpighiales; Euphorbiaceae
Source: RNAcentral